CCUACGGGAGGCAGCAGUGGGGAAUAUUGCACAAUGGGGGAAACCCUGAUGCAGCGACGCCGCGUGAGUGAAGAAGUAUUUCGGUAUGUAAAGCUCUAUCAGCAGGGAAGAAAAUGACGGUACCUGAUUAAGAAGCCCCGGCUAACUACGUGCCAGCAGCCGCGGUAAUACGUAGGGGGCAAGCGUUAUCCGGAUUUACUGGGUGUAAAGGGAGAGUAGAAGGCAGCACAAGUCUGGAGUGAAAUGCCGGGGCUUAACCCCGGAACUGCUUUGGAAACUGUGCAGCUUGAGUGCAGGGGAGGUAAGUGGAAUUCCUAGUGUAGCGGUGAAAUGCGUAGAUAUUAGGAGGAACACUAGUGGCGAAGGCGGCUUACUGGACUGUAACUGACGUUGAGGCUCGAAAGCGUGGGGAGCAAACAGGAUUAGAUACCCUUGUAGUC
This 440-nucleotide ribosomal RNA is filed under the name uncultured bacterium. Its description in RNAcentral is "partial 16S ribosomal RNA". It matches the Rfam family "Bacterial small subunit ribosomal RNA", at positions 338 to 795 of the family's 1533-position model. The record is from RNAcentral.